UACGUAGGUGGCAAGCGUUGUCCGGAUUUAUUGGGUUUAAAGGGUGCGUAGGUGGUCUAUUAAGUCAGUGCUGAAAUAUCCCGGCUUAACCGGGAGGGUGGCAUUGAUACUGAUGGACUUGAAUGGAGUCGAGGUAGGCGGAAUUGACGGUGUAGCGGUGAAAUGCUUAGAUAUCGUCAAGAACACCUAUUGCGUAGGCAGCUUACUAGGCUCUAAUUGACACUGAGGCACGAAAGUGUGGGGAUCAAACAGG
This 253-nucleotide ribosomal RNA is filed under the name uncultured bacterium. RNAcentral describes it as "partial 16S ribosomal RNA". It matches the Rfam family "Bacterial small subunit ribosomal RNA", at positions 524 to 776 of the family's 1533-position model. The record is from RNAcentral.